RNAcentral lists this ribosomal RNA (625 nucleotides) under uncultured bacterium. Its description in RNAcentral is "bacterial SSU rRNA". It matches the Rfam family "Bacterial small subunit ribosomal RNA", at positions 1 to 619 of the family's 1533-position model. The record is from RNAcentral.
AAUUCGAUUAGAGUUUGAUUAUGGCUCAGGAUGAACGCUAGCGGCAGGCUUAAUACAUGCAAGUCGAGGGGUAGCAGGACUAGCAAUAGUUGCUGACGACCGGCAAACGGGUGCGGAACACGUACACAACCUUCCUUUUAGUGGGGAAUAGCCCAGAGAAAUUUGGAUUAAUACCCCGUAACAUAACGAUGUGGCAUCACAUUGUUAUUAUAGGUUUACCGCUAGAAGAUGGGUGUGCGGCUGAUUAGAUAGUUGGCGGGGUAACGGCCCACCAAGUCUACGAUCAGUAGCUGAUGUGAGAGCAUGAUCAGCCACACGGGCACUGAGACACGGGCCCGACUCCUACGGGAGGCAGCAGUAAGGAAUAUUGGACAAUGGACGCAAGUCUGAUCCAGCCAUGCCGCGUGAAGGAUGAAGGUCCUCUGGAUUGUAAACUUCUUUUAUAUGGGACGAAAAAAGGGAAUUCUUUCCCUCUUGACGGUACUGUAUGAAUAAGCACCGGCUAACUCCGUGCCAGCAGCCGCGGUAAUACGGAGGGUGCAAGCGUUAUCCGGAUUCACUGGGUUUAAAGGGUGCGUAGGCGGGUAUGUAAGUCAGUGGUGAAAUCCUAGAGCUUAACUCUGGA